CCUACGGGUGGCAGCAGUGGGGAAUAUUGGACAAUGGGGGGAACCCUGAUCCAGCCAUGCCGCGUGUGUGAAGAAGGCCCUCGGGUUGUAAAGCACUUUCAGUGAGGAAGAACGCCUGGUGGUUAAUACCCAUCAGGAAAGACAUCACUCACAGAAGAAGCACCGGCUAACUCCGUGCCAGCAGCCGCGGUAAUACGGAGGGUGUGAGCGUUAAUCGGAAUUACUGGGCGUAAAGCGCGCGUAGGUGGCUUGAUAAGCCGGUUGUGAAAGCCCCGGGCUCAACCUGGGAACGGCAUCCGGAACUGUCAAGCUAGAGUGCAGGAGAGGAAGGUAGAAUUCCCGGUGUAGCGGUGAAAUGCGUAGAGAUCGGGAGGAAUACCAGUGGCGAAGGCGGCCUUCUGGACUGAAACUGACACUGAGGUGCGAAAGCGUGGGUAGCAAACAGGAUUAGAUACCCCAGUAGUC
Molecule: ribosomal RNA, 465 nt
Filed under: Vreelandella stevensii
Lineage: Bacteria; Pseudomonadati; Pseudomonadota; Gammaproteobacteria; Oceanospirillales; Halomonadaceae
Description: partial 16S ribosomal RNA
Rfam family: Bacterial small subunit ribosomal RNA
Source: RNAcentral